Molecule: ribosomal RNA, 440 nt
Filed under: uncultured bacterium
Lineage: Bacteria
Description: partial 16S ribosomal RNA
Rfam family: Bacterial small subunit ribosomal RNA
Source: RNAcentral
CCUACGGGUGGCAGCAGUGGGGCAUCUUGCACAAUGGGGGAAACCCUGAUGCAGCGACGCCGCGUGAGUUCCUCCUUCUUUCUUUCUUUCCCUCUCUCUCCUCCUUUCCUCCCCUUCCUUUCCCUGCUUCCGCCGCCCCGGCUACCUCCGUGCCCGCCGCCGCGGUCCUCCGUAGGGGGCCCGCGUUCUCCUUGUUUACUGGUGGUAAAGGGAGCGUCGACGUCAGCACCCUUCUUUCUUGAAAUGCCGUGGCUUAACCCCUUAACUGCUUUGGAAACUGUGCAGCUAGAGUGCAGGAGAGGGAAGUGGAAUUCCUAGUGUAGCGGUGAAAUGCGUAGAUAUUAGGAGGAACACCAGGGGCGAAGGCGGCUUACUGGACUGUAACUGACGUGGAGGCGCGAAAGCGUGGGGAGCAAACAGGAUGAGAGACCCCGGUAGUC